AAAUCUGGUAAGAUAAGGUAAGCUAGUUGGUUGGUUAGUUAGGAGUUGUUCCUUUAAUUUCUCUACAAUUUAUAUUCAAAUAAGGUCCUAUUUUUUAUGGGAUCUGACAUUGUAUUCACCUCUAUUUAAUAGAGAUAUUCUUGUAUAAACAAUACAAUUUUAAGUCAUUAAAAUUAAUAUUGCAUCAGAGCAGACUCUGUUACUUUCCAAAUUUUAAAACAAAAAAUGGCAAACACCGCCACGACCAGUGCAACUCGGGAAGGUGAGUCUGAUGUAUCUACCGAGUCUUCACAGUGAAUACCUCUAGAGAAGGACCAGUGGCUAGCUACGGUGAGUCCCACACUCUGCAGAUCACACAACACAAGCUCAAUGGAUCCAAUUACCUGGAUUGGUCUCAAUCGGUGCUAUUGGUUAUUCGAGGUAAAGGAAAAGUUGGUUAUCUUACUGGAGAGACAAAGAAACCAGAAGCACAAGAUACUGGAUAUCGGAUCUGGGAGUCAGAAAAUUCCAUGGUCACUGCGUGGUUGGUAAAUUCUAUGGAACCCAAGAUUGGUAGAAAUUAUUUAUCCUAUAAAACUGCCAAAGAGGUAUGGGAUCUCGCCCAAUCUAUGUAUUCUGAUUUUGGUAACUCAUCCCAAAUGUUUAAAAUCGAUAUUAAGAGAUAUGAGGCAAGGCGAAACUACUAUAAUCGAUUACUAAAAUAUUUUGGUGGGUCUUUGGCAAGAAUUUGAUUUAUUUAAUGAUGUACGCUGGUCAUGCCCAGGAGAUGCUCUGAAGAAUACUCAGAAACUAGAAAAGGAGAGAUUGUUCGAUUUUCUUCAUGGACUGAACAAGGAAGGAUUCUUGGUAUAAAGCCACUGCUGUCAAUACAAGAUGCCUUUGCAAAGGUUCGACAUGAAGAGAGUAGAAGGAGAGUCAUGAUGAAAUCUAGUUAUGUGGAAAACUCUCUGCAGAACUCAGCACUUGCAGCAAAGCGACCCGUCUAUAACCAACAACAAAAUCAGGAGCAGCGUAGAGAAAAAAAGGAUUGGCGUGACUACUGUAAGAGAUUCUAUCAUACUAAAGAAAAUUGUUGGAAGAUAAAUGGAAAACCUACAAACUGGCAACCAAGGCAUGAACGUGAUGGCAAUGGCAGAGAAUUUCAACUUGCAGGAGAUGGUAGAGGAUUCCAAGUCAGGUAAUCAGCAAGGGAGAUCCUGUUUUAGUCCCAAACAGAUUUCAGAAUUGCAGACUUUGCUUCAAAAUCUGCAAAGUACUUCACACCAACCACAUCAGGCUCUUCAUCAGGAUGCUUCACAGCCAAGUAUUAAUGCCAAUUGCAAUAUAGCCCAGAAAGAUAGCUUCUCCACUGCUCUAAUUACGAAGACAUCAGUGAAUGAUCUAUGGAUAAUUGAUUCAGGGGCUUCAGACCAUAUGACAGGGAAUUAUGAGUUAUUUUCUGACUAUAUUUCGUGUUCUGGUUCAUUGAAAAUCAGGAUUGCUGAUAGUUCUUUAUCCUCAAUUAUAGGGAUAGGGACUAUUGUGGUCUCACCACUUAUAACUCUCAAAUCAGUUUUACAUGUUCCCAAUCUUUCAUGUCAUCUUAUUUCAAUAAUCAAACUAACUAAAGACUUGAGUUGUGAAGUUAACUUUUCUCCAUAUAUGUGUAAAUUUCAGGAUUUGUAUUCAGGGAAGAUGAUUGGCAUUGCUAAGUGAAGUAAUGAUUUGUACUAUCUUGAAGAUUCCAAGGAAGGCAAGACUGCUCAGUUUCAAGCUUAUGGAAGUAAAAGUGUUUCUAGCUCAAGUUCCGUUCCUACAUAUGUUUUGAAUAAAGUGAUGUUAUGGCAUAAAAGACUAGGGCAUCCUAACUUUAGUUAUUUGAAGAAGUUGUUUCCAACGUUAUUCAAUAAUAAAGAUGCAAGUUUGUUCAAAUGUGAUAUUUUCCAGUUAGCUAAAC
This 1936-nucleotide long non-coding RNA is filed under the name Olea europaea subsp. europaea. Lineage: Eukaryota; Viridiplantae; Streptophyta; Magnoliopsida; Lamiales; Oleaceae. The record is from RNAcentral.